This 462-nucleotide ribosomal RNA is filed under the name Triticum aestivum (bread wheat). RNAcentral describes it as "partial small subunit ribosomal RNA". The record is from RNAcentral. Lineage: Eukaryota; Viridiplantae; Streptophyta; Magnoliopsida; Poales; Poaceae.
AUGGUGCCACGGCAACAUAUCGGUUCCAGUAGCUCACGGAGAUACCGGUGCAAAAGGAAGCGUGCGGAUGAGCGCAACUUGCAAGAAGGUGGGGUGAUCCCGGAUUCCGGGUUCCCACAGGACGACGGCGUGGCAAGCGAGGAGGAACUUGCGAGGACAAACGGGCACGGUGCAAACAUAGCGUACAUCUCAUACAUGCAAGGGCAUCUCAUCACGGUCGUCUCGGGUUAUACCUUCGAAGCGUGCAUUCGGGGCGGAACGAGUUCGGAGCGGUGUAGAGGAAGUAGGCGUUCACGGGACGUCGUGGAAGUAGUUGUACACGGCGUCGGCGGUAGUGGAAGUAGACGUUCACGUUUCGUAGUUGUUCAGAUCGUCGGUAGAGGUACUUGGCGAUCCGAAGGGGUACUUGGCGGGUCGUCGAGGUACACGUUGUCGGGGUACUUGUCGCAUCAGCAGGUGUAG